This 497-nucleotide ribosomal RNA is filed under the name uncultured bacterium. RNAcentral's name for it is "partial 16S ribosomal RNA". It matches the Rfam family "Bacterial small subunit ribosomal RNA", at positions 28 to 507 of the family's 1533-position model. The record is from RNAcentral.
GACGAACGCUGGCGGCGUGCCUAAUACAUGCAAGUUGAGCGCUGAAGGUUGGUACUUGUACCUACUGGAUGAGCAGCGAACGGGUGAGUAACGCGUGGGGAAUCUGCCUUUGAGCGGGGGACAACAUUUGGAAACGAAUGCUAAUACCGCAUAACAACUUUAAACACAAGUUUUAAGUUUGAAAGAUGCAAUUGCAUCACUCAAAGAUGAUCCCGCGUUGUAUUAGGUAGUUGGGGAGGUAAAGGCCCAACAAGGCGAAGAAACCUAGCCGACCUGGAAGGGUGGUCGGCCAAAAUGGGAACGGGACCACGCCCAAACCCCUUAGGGAGGCAGCAGGAGGGAAACUUCGGCCAUGGGCGAAAGUCUGACCGAGCAACGCCGCGUGAGUGAAGAAGGUUUUCGGAUCGUAAAACUCUGUUGGUAGAGAAGAACGUUGGUGAGAGUGGAAAGCUCAUCAAGUGACGGUAACUACCCAGAAAGGGACGGCUAACUACGUG